This 442-nucleotide ribosomal RNA is filed under the name uncultured bacterium. RNAcentral describes it as "partial 16S ribosomal RNA". It matches the Rfam family "Bacterial small subunit ribosomal RNA", at positions 338 to 795 of the family's 1533-position model. The record is from RNAcentral.
CCUACGGGUGGCAGCAGUAGGGAAUCUUUCACAAUGGGCGAAAGCCUGAUGGAGCAACGCCGCGUGCAGGAUGAAGGCCUUCGGGUUGUAAACUGCUUUUAUAAGCGAGAAAUAUGAUGGUAACUUAUGAAUAAGGCUCGGCUAAAUACGUGACAGCAGCCGCGGUCAUACGUAGGAUCCGAGCAUUAUCCGGAGUGACUGGGGGUUAAGCGUUGCGUAGGUGGCAUAAUAAGUAGCUAGUGAAAUCGUGUGGCUAAACCAGUCAGACUAUUGGCUAAACUGUUAAGCUCGAGACCGUUAGGGGUAACUGGAAUUUCUAGUGUAGGGGUGAAAUCCUUAGAUAUUAGGAAGAACUCCGAUAGCGUAGGCAGGUUGCUGGGACGGUUCUGACGCUAAUGCACGAAAGUGUAGGGAGCAAACGGGAUUAGAUACCCGAGUAGUC